GAUGAACGCUGGCGGCGUGCCUAAUACAUGCAAGUCGAGCGAACAGACGAGGAGUUUGCUCCUCUGACGUUAGCGGCGCACGUGUGAGUAACAUGUGUAUAACCUCCCUAUAAGACUGGUAUAACUUCGGGAAGCCGGAUCUAAUACCGUAUAAUAUGUUGAACCGCAUCGUUCAAUAGUAAAAUACGGUUUUGUCGUUACUUAUAGGUGGUUCCGGGCCGCAUUAGCUAGUUGGUAAGGUAACGGCUUACAAAGGCAACGAUGCGUAGCCGACCUGAGAGGGUGAUCGGCACACUGGGACUUGAGCAACGGUCAAGACUCCACCGGGAGGAAGAAGUAGGGAACCUCGGGAAAUGGCGGAAAGCCUGACGGAGAACGGCCGCGUGAGUGAUGAAGGUCUCCGGAUCGUAAACCUCUGUUAUUAGGAAAAAACAAAUGUGUAAGUAACUAUGCACGUCUUGACGGUACCUAAUCAGAAAGCGACGGCUAACUACGUG
RNAcentral lists this ribosomal RNA (497 nucleotides) under uncultured bacterium. RNAcentral describes it as "partial 16S ribosomal RNA". It matches the Rfam family "Bacterial small subunit ribosomal RNA", at positions 28 to 507 of the family's 1533-position model. The record is from RNAcentral.